GACGAACUGUCCUAACGUUGUUCGGAAUCACUGGGCUUAAAGGGCGCGUAGGCGGUCCGUCAAGUCAGGGGUGAAAUCCUGCAGCUUAACUGUAGAAGUGCCUCUGAUACUGACGGUCUUGAGGGAGAUAGGGGUGUGCGGAACUUCCAGUGGAGCGGUGAAAUGCGUUGAUAUUGGAAGGAACGCCGGAGGCGACAGCGGCGCACUGGAUCUCUUCUGACGCUGAGGCGCGAAAGCUAGGGGAGCAAACGGG
Molecule: ribosomal RNA, 253 nt
Filed under: uncultured bacterium
Lineage: Bacteria
Description: partial 16S ribosomal RNA
Rfam family: Bacterial small subunit ribosomal RNA
Source: RNAcentral